GAUGAACGCUAGCGGCAGGCUUAAUACAUGCAAGUCGUGGGGCAGCAGGUUUGUAGCAAUACAGAUGCUGGCGACCGGCAAACGGGUGCGGAACACGUACAGAACCUUCCUUUGAGCGGGGAAUAGCCCAGAGAAAUUUGGAUUAAUACCCCAUAGUAUAAUGAAGUGGCAUCACUUUAUUAUUAAAGAUUUAUCACUCGAAGAUGGCUGUGCGGCUGAUUAGGUAGUUGGCGGGGUAAAGGCCCACCAAGACGAUGAUCAUUAGGGGAACUGAGAGGUUGACUCCCCCACACUGGCACUGAGAUACGGGCCAACUCCUACGGGAGGCAGCAGUAGGGAAUAUUGGACAAUGGGUGCAAGCCUGAUCCAGCCAUGCCGCGUGCAGGAAGAAAGCCUUCUGGGUUGUAAACUGCUUUUGCCGAGGGGAUAAAACACUUUGCGAAGUGGAUUGAAGGUACCUGGUGAAUAAGCCACGGCUAACUACGUGC
Molecule: ribosomal RNA, 488 nt
Filed under: uncultured bacterium
Lineage: Bacteria
Description: bacterial SSU rRNA
Rfam family: Bacterial small subunit ribosomal RNA
Source: RNAcentral